RNAcentral lists this non-coding RNA (152 nucleotides) under Bacillus cereus biovar anthracis str. CI. The record is from RNAcentral. Lineage: Bacteria; Bacillati; Bacillota; Bacilli; Caryophanales; Bacillaceae.
AAGUGGAAAUUUAUAGAGUGAAAGAACAAACUCUCAUUUCUGGGGGUUUGUUCUUUUGCUGUAUAAAAAAUAGGUAUGAGUAGGAAAUUUUCAUUUUAUAACUGAGUAUGUAAUACUAGAAAAAUAGAAAAUGAUAACAGAUUUACAUUUUA